Molecule: ribosomal RNA, 261 nt
Filed under: Staphylococcus aureus
Lineage: Bacteria; Bacillati; Bacillota; Bacilli; Caryophanales; Staphylococcaceae
Description: partial 23S ribosomal RNA
Rfam family: Bacterial large subunit ribosomal RNA
Source: RNAcentral
AGAUUAAGUUAUUAAGGGCGCACGGUGGAUGCCUUGGCACUAGAAGCCAAUGAAGGACGUUACUAACGACGAUAUGCUUUGGGGAGCUGUAAGUAAGCUUUGAUCCAGAGAUUUCCGAAUGGGGAAACCCAGCAUGAGUUAUGUCAUGUUAUCGAUAUGUGAAUACAUAGCAUAUCAGAAGGCACACCCGGAGAACUGAAACAUCUUAGUACCCGGAGGAAGAGAAAGAAAAUUCGAUUCCCUUAGUAGCGGCGAGCGAAA